RNAcentral lists this ribosomal RNA (1239 nucleotides) under Candidatus Phytoplasma pyri. Its description in RNAcentral is "bacterial SSU rRNA". It matches the Rfam family "Bacterial small subunit ribosomal RNA", at positions 153 to 1397 of the family's 1533-position model. The record is from RNAcentral. Lineage: Bacteria; Bacillati; Mycoplasmatota; Mollicutes; Acholeplasmatales; Acholeplasmataceae.
GAAACGACUGCUAAGACUGGAUAGGAAGUUUUAAGGCAUCUUGAAACUUUUAAAAGACCCGCAAGGGUAUGCUGAGAGAUGGGCUUGCGGCACAUUAGUUAGUUGGUAAGGUAACGGCUUACCAAGACCAUGAUGUGUAGCUGGACUGAGAGGUUGAACGGCCACAUUGGGACUGAGAUACGGCCCAAACUCCUACGGGAGGCAGCAGUAAGGAAUUUUCGGCAAUGGAGGAAACUCUGACCGAGCAACGCCGCGUGAACGAUGAAGUAUUUAGGUAUGUAAAGUUCUUUUAUUAAAGAAGAAAAAAUGAUGGAAAAAUCAUUCUGACGGUAUUUAAUGAAUAAGCCCCGGCUAACUAUGUGCCAGCAGCUGCGGUAAUACAUGGGGGGCAAGCGUUAUCCGGAUUUAUUGGGCGUAAAGGGUGCGUAGGCGGUUUAAUAAGUCUAUGGUCUAAGUUCAACGCUUAACGUUGUGAUGCUAUAGAAACUGUUUGACUAGAGUUGGAUAGAGGCAAGUGGAAUUCCAUGUGUAGCGGUAAAAUGCGUAAAGAUAUGGAGGAACACCAGUAGCGAAGGCGGCUUGCUGGGUCUUAACUGACGCUGAGGCACGAAAGCGUGGGGAGCAAACAGGAUUAGAUACCCUGGUAGUCCACGCCGUAAACGAUGAGUACUAAGUGUUGGGUUAAACCAGUGCUGAAGUUAACGCAUUAAGUACUCCGCCUGAGUAGUACGUACGCAAGUAUGAAACUUAAAGGAAUUGACGGGACUCCGCACAAGCGGUGGAUCAUGUUGUUUAAUUCGAAGAUACACGAAAAACCUUACCAGGUCUUGACAUACUCUGCAAAGCUAUAGAAAUAUAGUGGAGGUUAUCAGGGAUACAGGUGGUGCAUGGUUGUCGUCAGCUCGUGUCGUGAGAUGUUGGGUUAAGUCCCGCAACGAGCGCAACCCUUAUCGCUAGUUACCAUCAUUUAGUUGGGCACUUUAGUGAGACUGCCAAUGAUAAAUUGGAGGAAGGUGGGGAUUACGUCAAAUCAUCAUGCCCCUUAUGACCUGGGCUACAAACGUGAUACAAUGGCUGUUACAAAGAGUAGCUGAAGCGUGAGUUUUUAGCAAAUCUCAAAAAAACAGUCUCAGUUCGGAUUGAAGUCUGCAACUCGACUUCAUGAAGUCGGAAUCGCUAGUAAUCGCGAAUCAGCAUGUCGUGGUGAAUACGUUCUCGGGGUUUGUACACACCGCCCGU